This 414-nucleotide ribosomal RNA is filed under the name uncultured microorganism. Its description in RNAcentral is "bacterial SSU rRNA". It matches the Rfam family "Archaeal small subunit ribosomal RNA", at positions 459 to 872 of the family's 1478-position model. The record is from RNAcentral.
CAGCAGCCGCGGUAAUACCGGCGGCCCGAGUGGCGGCCACUAUUAUUGGGCCUAAAGCGUCCGUAGCCGGGCUGGUAAGUCCCCCGGGAAAUCUGGCGGCUUAACCGUCAGAAUUCCGGGGGAUACUGCCAGCCUAGGGACCGGGAGAGGCCGGGGGUAUUCCCGGGGUAGGGGUGAAAUCCUAUAAUCCCAGGGGGACCGCCAGUGGCGAAGGCGCCCCGCUGGAACGGGUCCGACGGUGAGGGACGAAGGCCAGGGGAGCAAACCGGAUUAGAUACCCGGGUAGUCCUGGCUGUAAAGGAUGCGGGCUAGGUGUCGGGUGAGCUUCGAGCUCGCCCGGUGCCGUAGGGAAGCCGUUAAGACCGCCGCCUGGGGAGUACGGCCGCAAGGCUGAAACUUAAAGGAAUUGGCGGG